Molecule: ribosomal RNA, 468 nt
Filed under: uncultured bacterium
Lineage: Bacteria
Description: partial 16S ribosomal RNA
Rfam family: Bacterial small subunit ribosomal RNA
Source: RNAcentral
GACGAACGCUGGCGGCGUGCUUAACACAUGCAAGUCGAACGGAAAGGCCCUGCUUUUGUGGGGUGCUCGAGUGGGGAACGGGUGAGUAACACGUGAGUAACCUGCCCUUGACUUUGGGAUAACUUCAGGAAACUAGGGCUACUACCGGAUCGGAGCCCCUGCUGCAUGGUGGGGGGUGGAAAGUUUCGGCGGUUGGGGAUGGACUCGCGGCUUAUCAGCUUGUUGGUGGGGUAGUGGCUUACCGAGGCUUUGACGGGUAGCCGGCCUGAGAGGGUGACCGGCCACAUUGGGACUGAGAGACGGCCCAGACUCGUACGGGAGGCAGCAGUGGCGAGUAUUGCACAAUGGGCGGAAGCCGGAGGCAGCAGCGCCGCGUGCGGGAUGACGGCCUUCGGGUUGUAAACCGCUUUCGCCUGUGACGAAGCGGGAGUGACGGUAAUGGGUAAAGAAGCACCGGCUAACUACGUG